This is an RNA transcript of Cottoperca gobio, 3467 nucleotides long. It is a transcript of the gene named CUGBP Elav-like family member 3, with no coding region annotated. The record is from RefSeq and is a predicted model, not a curated record. NCBI's taxonomy places the organism in Eukaryota, Metazoa, Chordata, Actinopteri, Perciformes, Bovichtidae. The transcript has 16 exons.
GAAAGAGAGGAGAGAAGAUACACCGGCAUAGGACGUGAAAAGCCAUCCAGUCGUUGAACGGGUGAGACGCAACAAGAAUAGAAAAGAGCAAGAAUAGUAACUAAAUAUAGCCUCAAUUUACGGUUGGAACAAUAUCGGCAAGGCUGAAAAAGUCUCAAAGGCAAACAAGCAAGUUUAAACUGUUGGACGUUACCCGAAUUUAAGCGACUGGUUAGCAUUUUAUCACUUUGAAAUUAAAUAGGAAUUAAGAGUGGGCUUUGGUGAAAGUGAAAACUAACUAGCUAGCUACGUCCAGUCUGGAUUUUGAGAGUCGAGAGGUUGAUUAAAUUUCAGUGGUGACACGCUGUGAUUCAGACUCACCUGCUUGGACUUUACUCCGCCACCUCCAGACCGGGAACACCGGGUUUUUUUUAUAAAAAACACAGCCGAGCCUGUAGUAUCUGUACACCGAGGAGGAGGAGGAGGGAGGAGGAGGAGGAGAGGGAGAGUACGACAGGCACAAAGAGUGGAGAGCAUCCAGAGAGAGGGGAGGAAGGAGGACGGCACGGAGAGAGCGCGGUGAGGACAACAGAGAGCAUCCCUCUUUAAUUUCUGAUCUGCACACAGGCAACACUCUUCCCAUAAGCGUCAUCUGAAAACGGGAUCCUGAACGCAGUUUAUCCACCAAAAGCGGUGACCCAAAGACUCAUCCAGCAUUGGUUGCUCCUAUCCAGGGAUACCUCCUCCUGAUCUGUUUGCCCCUCAGCCCCUGAAGUACCCAGUCCUCCUCUCAACUCUGUCCUGAUGAAGGAGGCAGACGCCAUCAAACUGUUCGUGGGACAGAUUCCCCGGAAUCUGGAAGAGAAGGACCUCAAGCCUAUCUUCGAGCAGUUUGGAAAGAUCUAUGAGCUAACUGUGAUUAAGGACAAAUACACUGGCAUGCACAAAGGAUGUGCGUUUCUGACGUACUGUGCGAGAGAGUCGGCACUGAAAGCCCAGAGCGCUCUACACGAGCAGAAAACACUACCAGGGAUGAAUCGGCCAAUUCAGGUGAAACCAGCUGACAGCGAGGGCAGAGGAGUUGGUCUCUCAGAGGACCGGAAGUUGUUUGUGGGCAUGCUGGGAAAGCAACAGAGCGACGAGGACGUCAGAAGACUGUUCGAGCCCUUUGGCAGCAUAGAUGAGUGUACUGUGUUGAGAGGACCCGACGGCACCAGCAAAGGGUGCGCUUUUGUAAAAUUCCAAGGACACGCUGAAGCCCAGGCUGCCAUCAACAGCUUGCAUGGAAGCCGCACAAUGCCUGGGGCGUCGUCCAGUCUGGUGGUGAAGUUUGCCGACACGGAGAAGGAGCGGGGGCUGAGGAGGAUGCAGCAGGUGGCCUCCCAGCUCGGCAUCUUCAGCCCUAUGACCCUCAACUUCCCCGCCUACAAUGCCUACACACAGGCGGUCAACGCACAGCUUGUCCAACAGCAGGCCCUGGUUGCCCAGUCAGCGUACUUGUCUCCUGUGGCAACAGUUGCCGCCGUACAGAUGCAGCAGAUGGCGGCGCUCAAUGCCAACGGAAUCAUUGCCACACCCAUUACACCCAUCACGCCGUCCUCGGGUACAAAUACUCCACCAACUAUCGCAGCAACGCCUGUGCCCUCUCUCCCUCCGCCACUAGGAGUGAAUGGUUACAGCAGUCUGCCAGCCCCCACCAAUGGACAACAAGCAACAGAAGCACUAUACACCAAUGGCAUUCAUCCAUAUCAAGCUCAGAGUCCAGUAGCAGCCCUGGACCCGCUACAGCAGGCGUAUGCAGGCAUGCAACACUACACAGGUUGGUCGGCGUAUCCUGCUGCCUACGGAUUGGUCGGACAGCCGUUCCCCCAGCAGCCAACAAUGGUUGCCCAGCAACACCAGCAGCCCCAGCAACAGCAGCAGAGAGAAGGUCCAGAGGGUUGUAACAUCUUCAUCUACCACCUGCCUCAGGAGUUCAGUGACUCUGAGAUGCUGCAGAUGUUCCUGCCCUUUGGCAAUGUCAUCUCGGCUAAGGUGUUUGUUGACCGCGCCACCAACCAGAGCAAAUGCUUCGGAUUUGUGAGUUUUGACAACCCAGCCAGUGCUCAGGCCGCCAUCCAGGCCAUGAAUGGCUUCCAGAUUGGCAUGAAAAGACUGAAAGUGCAGCUCAAAAGGCCCAAAGAUGCCAACCGCCCAUACUGAGUGUCAACUGAGAGGAGGAAUAAGAAAUAAAGAGAGAUCCUUCCGUCCAAUCAUAAUUCACGAGGACCCCAUCGCUAUGGCAAUGGUUGCCUAGUGACCGAUAAAGCCCUGACCCCCCCUUCCUCUCGCAUUGUUGUGACCUUUCAGAGUCCAGCCGAGGUGGAAUCCCAGGGUUCAUAGUGCUUUCAGACUGUCUGCUACCUUUGAGCAUCCGGGGAGUGCAGCCACACACACUGACACACACUCACACGAAUACACAUGUGCUCUCAACACUGAUCCUCGAACGGUGCAAGGCUGAUAUACAAAUGUACAUAAGGUGCACAAACACACACACACACACACACACACACACACACACACACACACACACACACACACACACUUGCAGACACUCACACAAAACACACAUGGUUCACACGAGUCAGUAAUCUUACCCAUACAGCCAAGAGCUUGGUUUGACCACGGUCUGUGUGGAGUUUGCCAACAGGGUGUUUAGUACAGUUAGGCAACUCAGACCGAGCAUGUGUGGAAGUAUGCUGAUAAAAAAAAAUGCUGAUAUAUCACUUCAAUAGACUUUAACAUGUCUAUACCAUGUCUAUUCCAUGACAAAUAUAGAGGGGCCGAUGUUUCAUAAUAAAAAAAGAAAGAAAAACAAAAAAGACGACUAAAUGAGUAGGUUAGAGAGACUUUGGAGAAAAUCCUAAUGACUUGUAAAUAAUUUAGUUUACAAAGAGCGGCAUUUAAAAAACAAGAAAAAAUGCAAAAAGAAUACUACUUUAGAUAAACACUGAACAGGACACAGCGACAUUAUUAUUAUUUAUUAUUAUUAUUAUUAUCAUUCAUAUUAUUAUUAUUAUUAUUAUUAUUAUUACCACUAGUAACAUCAUCAUCCUCAUAAAGGGAUAUUACAUUCCAAAUUGUAAAAUGGGAAAUCACUAACCUACUUUAAAUUUCUACUUAGAUUUUAGGUGAAACUUGGGGGAGGGAGGGGUCGCACUUUUAUUCGGGAGGUUUUAAUAUUUGAGCUAUUUUUUAUUUAUUUACUAAUUUAUCAAUUAUUUUGUUUAUUGGGAGAAGGGGUUUGAGUGGGUUGCAAUAUUUUGAUUUUAGAAUUUUCUAGAGAAAACCUUUUGAGGGCCUGUUUCUGUCAGACUCUUGCAAUCGAGUAAUUAUAAUGUAUGUAUUAAUUAUUACAGCAAUUAUAUUUAUUUCUUAUUUAUUGAAUCCUGUUUUUGAUCCACUCUCUUUUUAAGUUAAAAUAAAAAGUAUCAUACUAAAGGACCUAU